Molecule: long non-coding RNA, 764 nt
Organism: Rosa rugosa (rugosa rose)
Lineage: Eukaryota; Viridiplantae; Streptophyta; Magnoliopsida; Rosales; Rosaceae
Exons: 2
Source: RefSeq, a predicted model, not a curated record
GGGCCCGGUACCGGUACUAGCUUAGUAGAAACCGAUUGAUCCCGUCCCGUCCCGUUUGAAUUAAUUAAAUUAAAUCUUUAAUUUUUUAUAUUAUUUGGUUGGUUUUGAUUGGGUAAUUUAAUGUGGGAACACAAAGGAAUGACACACCUGAUCAAAACAUUUUGACCUAACUCACCUAAGUCCCUAAGCAGAUGGCAGAUCUGCAUCCGAUCCCCAAUUCACCUCUUCUCCACUCUGGUUCUCUCCAGUCUCCAGAUAGAUUUAUGUUCGGCAGCACUCGAGCAGCGACUUCGCCUCCUUCAGCCCAGCGACGUCUAGCUGGUUGCCUGGUUCCCGAGCAGGAAUAAGAUUUUCCUUCUCUUUCCUCUGUUCUCCGUUGGUUCGGCUGUACGCACUGAGCCAGUGAUCACGACGAUUCUACGAACCGCCGCCUCUACCACCGAAGACCUGCCAACACCUCCGCCCCUACCACCGCCUCCGACCGCCGUACCUCCUUCAGAUUUACACGUUCAACAAUCCCGAAAGCAAAGGGGAAGGGAAGGGCUGCAGUGGUAAAUGUUGACUAAUGAGUUUAUGAGGUUGUGAGACUGAGUGUGAUGAAGUGAUGAAGGCUUUUUGAAAUGUGUUUAAUACUUCAAGACUUGUAGUUAACUAGUUUUUAACUUUUUAUCAUGUAAUGGACUUUAUAAGACCUACUGGACUUAUUGUUGAAUUCAUGAAUUGGUUUCUGUGUUUAUUCAUUUAUUGAACUUAUUGUUGGUCAA